Molecule: long non-coding RNA, 616 nt
Filed under: Danio rerio (zebrafish)
Lineage: Eukaryota; Metazoa; Chordata; Actinopteri; Cypriniformes; Danionidae
Description: si:zfos-1697h8.1 (ENSDARG00000095882.2)
Source: RNAcentral
UCUUCAGUUUUAUUCUCAAAAGACUUAUAAAAUAAAAUACAUGACAGCCCUUGAUGUGAGGGAUAUUUCUGCCGUUGAUGCAUUUGAGCACUUGAUUGUACUGAAGCAGCGUGAGCCAUACUGUAUUGCUGGGAAGGAGAAAACGAACCAGCUGCACUGCUAUUACUCCCCACGACUGCAGAGCCACAGUCCAUGGAGUAGGGAGAAAUCAUUCCGGAGGAAGACCCUGAACCGGAGAGGUGUUGGUACUGGUGCCCAUCCACGUUUGUGUACCUAAAUCCGGCUCCGUAAGCGGCUCCACCUCUUCGGCUUCGGUCUCGCCCACUCACAGAGAAGUAAUAAUCCAUACUGUCCUUUCGGUAGGAGUUCCCCCCCGCGCUGCUCUGCGGCAUCUCUGUGACCGCUCGCCUGGAGCUGUAGCCAUGUACCGGAGCAUGCAGGUGCUGCUGCUGCUGGGCCCGCAGGUGCAAGUGCUGCCCGUGGCUCUGUAGGCUGGUCUGGGCCUGCUGAAGGGACACAUAGUCCUCGGAGGUCCUGGGGGAGAUCUGAAGGUCUGACGGGUGGGUCUGAUAUGGGGAACUGACUACGCCUGCUCCACGGCUGAACCCUGGGUGGA